RNAcentral lists this long non-coding RNA (503 nucleotides) under Coccomyxa subellipsoidea. RNAcentral describes it as "long non-coding RNA (CSUB_LNC000102)". The record is from RNAcentral. Lineage: Eukaryota; Viridiplantae; Chlorophyta; Trebouxiophyceae; Coccomyxaceae.
AAGUACCACCAUUUUAUUUGAACAGGAAGAACCUGGUACAUGUGAGAUCCCACAGUCUGCUUGGACAGUUAAAGCUUCAGCCUGCAAUCCUUGACGAUCAUGACUGGAAUUGCUGCAAUUUCUGCUUCCUCUGUUGUAUCGAAGACAGCCGAUGCAUAUCGAUUGCCCAUGUUCCCUGUGAGCAGAUCGUCUUGCGUGAUGUAGGGUCCUGGACACACAAACACGCAGACUUGCUCUGCCUCAACUAUGUACUACACGGCUCUUCAAGAUAUCAAGAACGAAUACAAUCUAUUGGUUGCUGGGAUGUGACGCGCAUGAUGACAUCAGUGCCUACAAACCGUCGGUCAAGUCUGCCUUUUCACGAUUAUUCGAUAUUUGAGACUCUGAUGACGCAUCUGUAUCCUCUGCAAUCUUAACGACAUUGCAAAUUAUAUUCACGCAUGCACGAGUGCCUUAGGCCAGGAUGGUGUAUUCCAGGUACAUCAUCGAAUCAUCAAGACUGC